Molecule: ribosomal RNA, 372 nt
Filed under: uncultured organism
Description: bacterial SSU rRNA
Rfam family: Bacterial small subunit ribosomal RNA
Source: RNAcentral
CGGGGGAGCAAGCGUUGUUCGGAUUUACUGGGCGUAAAGGGCGCGUAGGCGGCGCAACAAGUCACUUGUGAAAUCUCCGGGCUUAACCCGGAGCGGCCAAGUGAUACUGUCGUGCUAGAGUGCGGAAGGGGCUACUGGAAUUCUCGGUGUAGCGGUGAAAUGCGUAGAUAUCGAGAGGAACACCUGCGGCGAAGGCGGGUAGCUGGGCCGACACUGACGCUGAGGCGCGAAAGCCAGGGGAGCGAACGGGAUUAGAUACCCCGGUAGUCCUGGCCUUAAACGAUGGAUACUUGGUGUCCGGGGUUACAUAGUCCCCGGGUGCCGGCGCUAACGCAUUAAGUAUCCCGCCUGGGGAGUACGGUCGCAAGACUG